CCUACGGGAGGCAGCAGUGGGGAAUAUUGGACAAUGGGCGAAAGCCUGAUCCAGCCAUGCCGCGUGUGUGAAGAAGGCCUUCGGGUUGUAAAGCACUUUCAGUGGGGAAGAAAGCCUUGGGGCUAAUACCCUCGAGGAAGGACAUCACCCACAGAAGAAGCACCGGCUAACUCCGUGCCAGCAGCCGCGGUAAUACGGAGGGUGCGAGCGUUAACCGGAAUUACUGGGCGUAAAGCGCGCGUAGGCGGUCUGAUAAGCCGGUUGUGAAAGCCCCGGGCUCAACCUGGGAACGGCAUCCGGAACUGUCAGGCUAGAGUGCAGGAGAGGAAGGUAGAAUUCCCGGUGUAGCGGUGAAAUGCGUAGAGAUCGGGAGGAAUACCAGUGGCGAAGGCGGCCUUCUGGACUGACACUGACGCUGAGGUGCGAAAGCGUGGGUAGCAAACAGGAUUAGAUACCCCAGUAGUC
Molecule: ribosomal RNA, 465 nt
Filed under: Vreelandella stevensii
Lineage: Bacteria; Pseudomonadati; Pseudomonadota; Gammaproteobacteria; Oceanospirillales; Halomonadaceae
Description: partial 16S ribosomal RNA
Rfam family: Bacterial small subunit ribosomal RNA
Source: RNAcentral